RNAcentral lists this ribosomal RNA (357 nucleotides) under uncultured bacterium. Its description in RNAcentral is "bacterial SSU rRNA". It matches the Rfam family "Bacterial small subunit ribosomal RNA", at positions 29 to 414 of the family's 1533-position model. The record is from RNAcentral.
AACGAACGCUGGCGGCAGGCCUAACACAUGCAAGUCGAGCGAACCCUUCGGGGUUAGCGGCGGACGGGUUAGUAACGCGUGGGAAUAUACCCUUUGGUACGGAAUAGCCUCGGGAAACUGAGAGUAAUACCGUAUGUGCCCUUCGGGGAAAGGAUUAUCGCCAAAGGAUUAGCCGCGUUGGAUUAGGUAGUUGGUGGGGUAAGUGGCCUACCAAGCCUACGAUCCAUAGCUGGUUUGAGAGGAUGAUCAGCAACACUGGGACUGAGACACGGCCCAGACUCCUACGGGAGGCAGCAGUGGGGAAUCUUAGACAAUGGGCGCAAGCCUGAUCUAGCCAUGCCGCGUGGACGAUGAAGC